CUGCAGCAUAUGGAGGUUCCCAGGCUAGGGGUCAAAUCAGAGCUACAGCUGCUGGCCUACACCACAGCCACAGCAAUGUGGGAUCUGAGCCGGCUCUGCGACCUACACCACAGCUCAGGGCAACGCCAGAUCCUUAACCCACUGAGUGAGGCCCGGGAUCGAACCUGAUCCUUAUGGAUACUAGUCGGAUUCAUUCCCACUGCAACACAGUGGGAACUCCCCCAGAUUGCUUUUAACAGUGUCCAAGCUCUCCGUGACUGAUGGCAGGGCUUGGUGAUUUCUGCCUGACUUAAUACCCUCCCUCCUUAGAGGAAUCGUGCCCAUUUUUUUUCCCCUCUCAUUGUUCAUAGCUGAGGUCAUCUUUUCCAACGCACAUCCCUUUCCCAUCUCAUGGUUGUCAGAAACCUCAGGAAAUUGUGCUGUAUAUUUUCCCCUCCCUUCUUUAGCUCCAUUUGGGAACAAAGAGAAAUUUCAACUCUGAUCAUGGAGAGUGGUGCACAUAAAAUUAAUAUUGGUCAGAAACCUAGAGUAAUGGUGACAGUGAAGCAAGGAGAAGCACUUAGUACUUCUUGACACCAUUGCUUUCUUCCCUCCCAACACCCCCAAUGAGAAUGUAAGCUCCCUGUGUUCCCCUGUGUUCUCCAUGGAUUCCCAGAGCCUGCAACAGUGCCUGACAUGUAGAAGAGAUCUUCAGUAUAUACUUGUUGAAUGAGCGAAUGAAAAAUGAAAAAAAUAUAUAUAUAUAUUGAAGUUAAAACAGAGAUAUGUCACGAAUUGCAAGUGCUCUUGAUCAGAGUCCCUUUCAGAAUCCCCACAGAAGCCUUCAUCUACCUGCUUUAAUUAAACAUGCUCUUUCUCAAGCAUCAGCAUUCAGAAUAUGUCAAGAUGUAGUUUAUAAACCUAUUUCAUAAUCAUUUUUAUUUUCCAAUUUUUGUCUAAUGAAGAGUGGUACAACACUUUUGCUUUCUACUAUGGCUUCCUGGCAGAUAUGCAGAGAGAAUGCCCAUAUAUUUUGAAUUAAAUGAGUUUCUUUUGGCAAACCUAGAAAUGCAAUAAGCAGCAUUUACUUAUAACAUUUCUGUUGGUAAAAUGUGACCGACGUUCAAAACAACCCCCUUGCAAACUGCUUUUGAAAUACAACCAUUUUUAGUUUCGUGAGCUUCUGUAUUUAGUCUGUGCUUUACUCUCAGACAAUUCUUUAUGGAUUGUAAGUACUUUUUCAGUUGCCUCAUUAGUGGAUGCUUUAUCUUCCUCAGUGUUUUUAAGCCCCCCUGAAGGCAGGGAUUAUGUUUUUCUACUUUUGUUCACCUCUUCAUGGUGCUUAGUACUGCUUUGAACUCAGUAACUACUUGUUGAAUGAAGGAUUUUACUUAAAUGCAAAAUUCUGCAUAAGGUGAUAAGCCCAGAAGACAAUGGAUUAUUUUUUUUGCAAAAAAGGAAACAUCAGUUAUUCAUGCACUCUUCAGUAUUUAGGGCCAGGGCGCUUGAAUGUCAUGUUAGAGACCACAUUUUGUUUAGGCUUGUUAAUCAUUCCUGUUUGUCAAACUUUUUCACAUGAGGUUUUUUUUUUUUUCCCCUUAAUAGCAACAAUACAUGACAGUAAAUCAUAAUUAUAAAAACAUCAGCAUCAUAGGUUUAAAAUAUUUCAUUCUUCAUUAAUUAUAUGUUCCCUCUUCCCCUUAAAUACAUCAUCAGGCAGCAUCAUGAACUAUUAUGUGAAGAAUUUAAUUUGAGUUCAGGAGGUAGCAAGUAAGAUGUUUGUACUUGUUUACUUUAGGAUCUUUUCCAAACUGGGGACUCAGGUGUCAAAAGAGGAAUAAGGACGGAAACUUUUCAUUUCUGAUUAAGGGACAACAAGGACAUUUAGACUCUGUCUUAUGGCAAACUGCUCCUUUCCUUCUGUGGCAAUGUGUUAAAAAUACCUGGGUUCUUAUUUCUUAACCUGAGAGCUGGUUAGUUAUAUAGGCAUUCAGUAUGUAGUUAUUAUUUAAACUGUACAUACAAUCUUCUGUGUAUAAUAUAUAUUUUGCAAUCAAAGAAAAUAUAUAUUAAAAAAAUAUGUAGUCCAAAGAGGGAAACGUCCAUAUUUCACAUUCAUUCAAAAUCAAGAACCAAGUAUCAACUAUUCCUUCUUUUUGGUAAUUAGCAUUCAGAAAGGAAUAAUGUUAACAUCUGAAUGGAGUGUUUAAGAAAUAGUUACAUUUGCAUCUGAAAAGAGGUGUUCUUUGGAAAAUAAAAUUGGUGCUUUCAGAAUUAAAACACGAUAAACCAAACCAAACCAAACAUUUUGCCUGCCUAGAAAAGAUUUCUUUAAAGAUUGCUUCAGGGUCCACCUGAAGACUUUUGUCACAUGGUUCAGCACCCCUCUGGAAUCUUUGAGGUGUUAUAGAAUCAAAGCUGAGCGCACUCCAAAAAGUGAGACAUGUAAGCUGAGAAACCCUAUUCACAGUACCAAAUAGUACAAGCUGAUAUUUAUCAGGGAAGAAUUUCUUUGCUCUUACAGUUUAUUUCAUUUCUCUGAUUUUACCCUCUGUGUAUAUGUGUACACAAUACGGUUGUGGUUUUUUUAUGUAAUUUUUUUUUUCUCAUCAGCAGGAUUGUAAAUGCCUUGAGGACAGGGAUAAUCUAUUGUCUUUCAAGCUCUCUGCGUGUCCUAGCUCAGUGUUAGUCACCUAAUACUUUCGCUUGAUUUGCAAAUGCAUACAUGUCACAUUCUGAUAGCUUGUGACUCCUUUGUCUCAUCCAUUUUAUACUCCAAAGAAUUUGUGCUGGAGAAUAUAAGGAUCACAGUCUCCUGUCCUGAAAUGCGUGUGAUCUGAAAGCAUUAUAACCCUUGAUUGUGAGGUUUGGGGUGUUUGUACAAUGAAAAUGAUUGAAAUAUUAAUAUGAAAUCACGCUGUGAUCUGGAAACUUAUAAAAUAUUUUUGAUUCUAUAAAUCAAUUCUGAAUAUUUUCAGACAUCCAGGGUUAAGUUGAGGUUUUGCUGUUCUGACCCUAAGU
Molecule: long non-coding RNA, 3000 nt
Filed under: Sus scrofa (pig)
Lineage: Eukaryota; Metazoa; Chordata; Mammalia; Artiodactyla; Suidae
Description: lncRNA (ENSSSCG00000053484.1)
Source: RNAcentral